This 2142-nucleotide ribosomal RNA is filed under the name Cronobacter turicensis z508. RNAcentral describes it as "bacterial LSU rRNA". It matches the Rfam family "Bacterial large subunit ribosomal RNA", at positions 692 to 2812 of the family's 2925-position model. The record is from RNAcentral. Lineage: Bacteria; Pseudomonadati; Pseudomonadota; Gammaproteobacteria; Enterobacterales; Enterobacteriaceae.
GCGUUAAGUUGCAGGGUAUAGACCCGAAACCCGGUGAUCUAGCCAUGGGCAGGUUGAAGGUUGGGUAACACUAACUGGAGGACCGAACCGACUAAUGUUGAAAAAUUAGCGGAUGACUUGUGGCUGGGGGUGAAAGGCCAAUCAAACCGGGAGAUAGCUGGUUCUCCCCGAAAGCUAUUUAGGUAGCGCCUCGUGAAUUCAUCUUCGGGGGUAGAGCACUGUUUCGGCUAGGGGGCCAUCCCGGCUUACCAACCCGAUGCAAACUACGAAUACCGAAGAAUGUUAUCACGGGAGACACACGGCGGGUGCUAACGUCCGUCGUGAAGAGGGAAACAACCCAGACCGCCAGCUAAGGUCCCAAAGUCAUGGUUAAGUGGGAAACGAUGUGGGAAGGCACAGACAGCCAGGAUGUUGGCUUAGAAGCAGCCAUCAUUUAAAGAAAGCGUAAUAGCUCACUGGUCGAGUCGGCCUGCGCGGAAGAUGUAACGGGGCUAAACCAUGCACCGAAGCUGCGGCAGCGACACUAUGUGUUGUUGGGUAGGGGAGCGUUCUGUAAGCCGUCGAAGGUGUACUGUGAGGUAUGCUGGAGGUAUCAGAAGUGCGAAUGCUGACAUAAGUAACGAUAAAGCGGGUGAAAAGCCCGCUCGCCGGAAGACCAAGGGUUCCUGUCCAACGUUAAUCGGGGCAGGGUGAGUCGACCCCUAAGGCGAGGCCGAAAGGCGUAGUCGAUGGGAAACAGGUUAAUAUUCCUGUACUCGGUGUUACUGCGAAGGGGGGACGGAGAAGGCUAUGUUAGCCGGGCGACGGUUGUCCCGGUUUAAGCAUGUAGGCGGAGGUUCCAGGUAAAUCCGGUUCCUUGUUAACGCUGAGGUGUGAUGACGAGGCACUACGGUGCUGAAGUAACAAAUGCCCUGCUUCCAGGAAAAGCCUCUAAGCAUCAGGUAACAUCAAAUCGUACCCCAAACCGACACAGGUGGUCAGGUAGAGAAUACCAAGGCGCUUGAGAGAACUCGGGUGAAGGAACUAGGCAAAAUGGUGCCGUAACUUCGGGAGAAGGCACGCUGGUGCGUAGGUGAAGCGACUUGCUCGCGGAGCUGAAACCAGUCGAAGAUACCAGCUGGCUGCAACUGUUUAUUAAAAACACAGCACUGUGCAAACACGAAAGUGGACGUAUACGGUGUGACGCCUGCCCGGUGCCGGAAGGUUAAUUGAUGGGGUUAUCCGUAAGGAGAAGCUCUUGAUCGAAGCCCCGGUAAACGGCGGCCGUAACUAUAACGGUCCUAAGGUAGCGAAAUUCCUUGUCGGGUAAGUUCCGACCUGCACGAAUGGCGUAAUGAUGGCCAGGCUGUCUCCACCCGAGACUCAGUGAAAUUGAAAUCGCUGUGAAGAUGCAGUGUACCCGCGGCAAGACGGAAAGACCCCGUGAACCUUUACUAUAGCUUGACACUGAACAUUGAGCCUUGAUGUGUAGGAUAGGUGGGAGGCUUUGAAGCGUGGACGCCAGUCUGCGUGGAGCCAACCUUGAAAUACCACCCUUUAAUGUUUGAUGUUCUAACCUGGCGCCAUAAUCUGGCGUGGGGACAGUGUCUGGUGGGUAGUUUGACUGGGGCGGUCUCCUCCUAAAGCGUAACGGAGGAGCACGAAGGUUAGCUAAUCCUGGUCGGACAUCAGGAGGUUAGUGCAAAGGCAUAAGCUAGCUUGACUGCGAGAGUGACGGCUCGAGCAGGUGCGAAAGCAGGUCUUAGUGAUCCGGUGGUUCUGAAUGGAAGGGCCAUCGCUCAACGGAUAAAAGGUACUCCGGGGAUAACAGGCUGAUACCGCCCAAGAGUUCAUAUCGACGGCGGUGUUUGGCACCUCGAUGUCGGCUCAUCACAUCCUGGGGCUGAAGUAGGUCCCAAGGGUAUGGCUGUUCGCCAUUUAAAGUGGUACGCGAGCUGGGUUUAGAACGUCGUGAGACAGUUCGGUCCCUAUCUGCCGUGGGCGCUGGAGAAUUGAGGGGGGUUGCUCCUAGUACGAGAGGACCGGAGUGAACGCAUCACUGGUGUUCGGGUUGUCAUGCCAAUGGCAUUGCCCGGUAGCUAAAUGCGGAAGAGAUAAGUGCUGAAAGCAUCUAAGCACGAAACUUGCCCCGAGAUGAGUUCU